Molecule: long non-coding RNA, 259 nt
Filed under: Lathyrus oleraceus (garden pea)
Lineage: Eukaryota; Viridiplantae; Streptophyta; Magnoliopsida; Fabales; Fabaceae
Description: Pisum sativum (pea) long non-coding RNA (PSAT_LNC020568)
Source: RNAcentral
UUGACUUGUUGAGUUUGACUACUAUUCUUGGGCCUUGGUCAAGGUUGAUUUGACUUUGUUAGAUUAAAAUCAUUGGAUUUAGGGGAUUGAUGAAAUGUACAUUUCAUCUCCUAAAAUGAAUGAAUGAUUUUAAUUUGAUAAAAGUCCUCCCAUGACCAAUUUGAGUUUAUUUCAUUUCCCCUCCCUCUUAAUCUUCAAUCCCUUUCUAUCCCAUCCAUUCCAUUGACCGGAUAUCUCUAUAUCUUAAGGCUAAUUGGUU